RNAcentral lists this ribosomal RNA (253 nucleotides) under uncultured bacterium. Its description in RNAcentral is "partial 16S ribosomal RNA". It matches the Rfam family "Bacterial small subunit ribosomal RNA", at positions 524 to 776 of the family's 1533-position model. The record is from RNAcentral.
UACGUAGGUGGCAAGCGUUGUCCGGAUUUAUUGGGUUUAAAGGGUGCGUAGGCGGCCCUGUAAGUCAGUGCUGAAAUAUCCCAGCUUAACUGGGAGGGUGGCAUUGAUACUGCGGGGCUAGAGUACAGAUGAGGUAGGCGGAAUUGACGGUGUAGCGGUGAAAUGCUUAGAUAUCGUCAAGAACACCGAUAGCGAAGGCAGCUUACUGGGCUGUAACUGACGCUGAGGCACGAAAGUGUGGGGAUCAAACAGG